RNAcentral lists this ribosomal RNA (460 nucleotides) under uncultured bacterium. RNAcentral describes it as "partial 16S ribosomal RNA". It matches the Rfam family "Bacterial small subunit ribosomal RNA", at positions 338 to 795 of the family's 1533-position model. The record is from RNAcentral.
CCUACGGGUGGCAGCAGUGAGGAAUAUUGGUCAAUGGCCGUAAGGCUGAACCAGCCAAGUAGCGUGAGGGAAGACUGCCCUAUGGGUUGUAAACCUCUUUUAUGCGGGGAUAAAGUGGUCCACGUGUGGAUGUUUGCAGGUACCGCAUGAAUAAGGACCGGCUAAUUCCGUGCCAGCAGCCGCGGUAAUACGGAAGGUCCGGGCGUUAUCCGGAUUUCUUGGGUUUAAAGGGAGCGUAGGCCGGUCUUUAAGCGUGCCUUGAAAUUUUGGGGCUCAACCAUGAGAGUGGGGCGAGAAUUGGAGACGUUGAGUGCGCGGAAGGCAGGCGGAAUUCGUGGUGGAGCGGUGAAAUGCUUAGAUAACACGAAGAACCCCGAUUGCGAAGGCAGCCUGCCGCAGCGGUACUGACGCUGAAGCUCGAAAGCGCGGGUAUCGAACAGGAUUAGAUACCCUGGUAGUC